ACUGUGGUUAAUGAUGCUGAUUUUUUUCCCCGUCAUAUCGACCAUGGUGAAUCAAAUGAAACUAAGCCAGUUUUGUCUGAAACCACAUU
Sphaeramia orbicularis (orbiculate cardinalfish) is the source of this 89-nucleotide small nucleolar RNA. Ensembl annotates it as small nucleolar SNORD12/SNORD106. The record is from Ensembl. NCBI's taxonomy places the organism in Eukaryota, Metazoa, Chordata, Actinopteri, Kurtiformes, Apogonidae.